This 627-nucleotide ribosomal RNA is filed under the name uncultured Russulaceae. RNAcentral's name for it is "LSU rRNA". It matches the Rfam family "Eukaryotic large subunit ribosomal RNA", at positions 47 to 649 of the family's 3401-position model. Lineage: Eukaryota; Fungi; Basidiomycota; Agaricomycetes; Russulales; Russulaceae. The record is from RNAcentral.
UAAGCGGAGGAAAAGAAACUAACAAGGAUUCCCCUAGUAACUGCGAGUGAAGCGGGAAAAGCUCAAAUUUAAAAUCUGGCGGUCUUUGGCCGUNCGAGUUGUAAUUUAGAGAAGCGUCUUCCGCGCUGGACCGUGCACAAGUCUCCUGGAAUGGAGCGUCAUAGAGGGUGAGAAUCCCGUCUUUGGCACGGAUGCCUGGUGCUUCUGUGAUGCGCUCUCGAAGAGUCGAGUUGUUUGGGAAUGCAGCUUAAAAUGGGUGGUGAACUCCAUCUAAAGCUAAAUAUUGGCGAGAGACCGACAGCGAACAAGUACCGUGAGGGAAAGAUGAAAAGCACUUUGGAAAGAGAGUGAAACAGUACGUGAAAUUGUUGAAAGGGAAACGCUUGAAGUCAGUCGCGUCGACCGAGACUCAGCCUUGCCUUGGCUUGGUGUACUUCUCGGCCCGACGGGUCAGCAUCAAUUUUGCCCCUCGGAUAAUGGCAGGGGAGAGGUGGCACCUUUACGGGUGUGUUAUAGUCUCCUGUCGAAUGCGAGGGGUGGGAUUGAGGAACUCAGCGCGCACCUCAGUGUCGGGGCUUCGGCCCACGUCACGCGCUUAGGAUGCUGGCGUAAUGGCUUUAAACGACC